AACCAUCGUGGUUAGUGUACUUAAUUUUCCGGAUCCAACUUCCUUUUCUUCUAGAACCAAACUUUAAGAAAAAAAUACUUUACGUUUUAAUAUAAGCAGCUAAAAAAUUAAUCUCUCAGUUAACCACUCUUCGUGAUAUACUUUUUUAUAAGCUGCUUCAUUUAUUUAGUACAUAAAUGCACAUGUACCAUUUCCCACAGCAUGCUCUCCUUUUUUCAUCUAAAAGUAAUUAUAGCUGUCUUGAGAGAGGGUGUUUCAAAAAAAAAAAAAAAAAAAAGCUGUCUUGAGAGAAAGAACAAGCCUUAAUUUAACGUUUAAAUUUAUACAAAAAGCGGAGUUUAAAUUAACAAAGAUUUCUGUUACCAUCUUUUGGCCAGUUUGUAGAUGGAUUUUUAGUUUUCAUUAAAUGUAUACAUAGGUCACGCUUGUUUGAUGAACCUGACGUUGACUUCUAGCGUUGUCAUCACAGAAAUAUCUUUCCGUUAAAGUUCUGUAAGUGUUUGAUGGUCAAUUUUUUUUUUUUACAUAAUUUUGAUGUGAUCUCAAAAGCUUUUUAAACCUAAGAGCAUUUUUAUAAAGGAUUUUUAGGGAAGGUUUUUAACAAAAAGUCGGUGUGGAUCUUGGAACCACUGACACGUGGCGGUCCACAAUUGGUUCGAUUUUAUUUUUUUUUUGUUUUUUUAAAUCAUAAAAAAAAAUAAUAAUAAUAAUAACUCCAAAUGAGAUUUUAG
RNAcentral lists this long non-coding RNA (731 nucleotides) under Brassica rapa (field mustard). RNAcentral describes it as "long non-coding RNA (BRAP_LNC006249)". The record is from RNAcentral. Lineage: Eukaryota; Viridiplantae; Streptophyta; Magnoliopsida; Brassicales; Brassicaceae.